GAUGAAGAACGUAGCGAAAUGCGAUACGUAAUGUGAAUUGCAAAUUCCGUGAGUCAUCGAAUCUUUGAACGCACAUUGCGCCCUCUGGUAUUCCGGAGGGCAUGCCUGUCUGAGCGUCAUUGUCAACCCUCAAGCUCAGCUUGCUGUUGGGUCCCCGUCGUUGCUUUAACGGCGGACCCGAAAGGUAAUGGCAGAGUCCGUGAGACCCUAGACGCAGCGAGCUUCUAGCACGCGUCUGGACGUUUUUCGGGCUCGGUCUUAAACUAGAUGAUAACUUCCGAUUGACCUCAGAUCAGGUAGGGAUACCCGCUGAACUUAAGCAUAUCAAUAAGCGGAGGA
RNAcentral lists this unclassified non-coding RNA (339 nucleotides) under soil metagenome. Its description in RNAcentral is "partial contains 5.8S ribosomal RNA, internal transcribed spacer 2, and large subunit ribosomal RNA". The stretch from base 1 to 119 matches the Rfam family "5.8S ribosomal RNA", at positions 35 to 154 of the family's 154-position model. The record is from RNAcentral.